GAGAAUUUUAGAAAAGGGGAAGAAGAAAUAGUGUGAUUUGGCAAAUCGAGUCAACCGACCAAAAUCCGGACCAGACCUUCCUCUUCUAUCUACUUAUUUAAGUCUUGUUCUGUCUUGAUCUACAGCAUGGAAACCCUAACCGCCGCACAGGGCGGAGACGACGCCAACAUCGGCGCGGCUAUUCUUAUGCGCUUCACCGACCCCAACAACGAACUCGACCUCGAAAUCCGCAAACUCAUCGUCGUCUUGUCCGGGCCCUUCCGCGGCCAAAAUGCACCUCCUCCGACGCCGGUGACCUAUUUGGGCGCCACGUGCUCCUCUCUCGACGUCGCUUCCGGUCAGAUGCUCGACGCCCACCUCACAAUUCUGUCCAUAGUCAUCCCAAAAGUCCCUGCUGCGUUUCUGAUCACCAAUCUCCGGCCGGUGUUUGAUUCCGUCGCACGGCCUCUCCGGUCUUCGUCUCCGAUUGACCAGAGCACCGGCUGCUUAGUAGUGAAAUGCAUUGCUCAGUUGUUCAUCACCGUCGCAAACGUCGUCAGCUGGUCAGAUGUUUCGGAACUUUACAGCUUCUUCCUCGACUUGGCUAACUUUGACGGCUUCCGGGUGAGAGAGCAAUUACAUGCGUGUCUUGCUGAUGUCUUGCAAAGUUUUCAAGGAACACCACUACUUUACCUGGCAACCAAACAGAUUACUGACUUGUUGAAUAAGUAUCCUCUGCUAGUGAACUAUGAUGAAAAUACUAGUGAAUCUGUUCCUUCCCAAGAAGAGAAGGCCUUGUUUACUCUGGAAGUUGUAAAUGUAUCUCUUUCCCUUUUGUCAACUGAGGAUAGAACUGCCGUGCUAGUCUACUAUAAGAGUCUCUUGGAACUAAACAAAUUCGAUGUUACAUCAAGGAUUUCUGAUGGUUUGUAUAGACUUUGUCUCGACCCAUCUGCAGACCAUUCUCCUCAACUGUUGCUUGAUAUAGUACUCUCCUUAUGUCUUUUUGUCACCCAACAUAAGAUCAUCCCGAGAACUAUAGCGAGUUUUCUCAGUGCUGGAGUGACGAAAGUUUACUCCUAUGAUCGGAAAAUGUGUGAAGUUAACCUCCCUAUUGUGUUUGAUGCACUCAAAGUUAUAUUGACAAGCCGUGGCGCAAGGAAGAAUCAUGAUAUAGUGCCUGCAUUUAAGUGUCUGAUUAAUACUUGUGUUGAUGAAAGCUUAAUCAAAGAGGGUGUUCACUAUGUGGUGAUAAAUGCAAGUGUGGGUGAUGGAAUCAAGUCGGAGCCAACAGUAAUUGAAAACUUGUGUGCUACUAUUCAAAGUCUACUCGGCUAUCAUCGAUUUCAUAAGGAUCAAACCGAAUCCCAGCAAUCGAAUCGCUUUUGUGAGACACAAGAAAGAUUUCACAACUAUAAAAUCUGGUGCCGGGCAUUUGAAAUUUUUUCAACAAUGAUCGAUAAAUUAGGACCAUACUCUUCUUAUUUGAUGAGGGGUACACUGAAGACCUUGGCAGACAUGCAUUUGUUACCACACAAAGAAUUCCCUUUCAAGGAAAAGGUUGAGCUUCUUCUGAAAAAGCUUGUUCAGAUAUGCGGGUUUGAUGCUGUAAUAGCUGUUAUGCCUCAAGAACACAAGAAACUGCUUGUAGAGAUCAAUGAAAUGGUUUCUAGACCUGUUGAAGUAAUACCUCAAGUUCUGGAAGCAACUACAGUCAGGUAUCACCUUUCUGACAACAUUUUGACUCCUGCAAGAUUUCGGAGCUUAUGAUCAAUCUGUCCACUGGUUCUGUUUCUUACUUGUUUUAGUAUUAUUAUCUAAAGAGUACAGCAUGAAAAAAAAAGUAGGAAGCUCUUGCCCCUUGUGUCUUCAUAUUGUGGUCCUAUUUGUGUGAAGCUGUUUUAAUCUGCUUCUUGGUUUGACCUCCUUGAGCGUACUCUACCAUAUUUUGCUCAAGAGUAGGAUCUAAGCAUAAGCGGGGAAAGAGUAUGCAAGUUUGAUGAGGAUAAAGCUAGGUGUAAAGCUAAGAGGGAAAUGACAAAAAGGAUGUCAGAUGCAGCUGGGAUGGCAAAGAAGAUGAGGCUGCAAGUUUAAUAGUGUUAUUCAGUUAUUAUCUAUAUAUUGUUCUAGGAGGGUGGAAGCUAAACCAUCAUCUUAUCUUCAUUAUGAGAGAUGCUGGCAAUCAAAUCAGUUAAUUACUUAAUUAUGUGACUUGAAGUCGUACCCCUUUUUUUUAUUAAUGUAUUUGGUUGAAGCAAUUAACGAUUACAACCACCCUGGGAUUCAGGCUAGGGGCAAAACCAUGGAUUAUUGUAUU
RNA transcript from Argentina anserina (silverweed cinquefoil), 2296 nucleotides. RefSeq lists it as uncharacterized. The transcript is spliced from 7 exons. The record is from RefSeq and is a predicted model, not a curated record. Lineage: Eukaryota; Viridiplantae; Streptophyta; Magnoliopsida; Rosales; Rosaceae.